UAAAUGGAAUUUCUUAAAUAAAAGAUUUGAUUAUCUACGUAUAUUUUUUAAUUUAGCAAUGAGUAGAAUAUUUGUUGUCACCUGGUAACACAACGACUAUUGUAAAUUUUUUUAAAAUUUUUGAGGUUAUAGUUAAGCAUUACACGACGCAGCAAGUGUUUAAAAAAAAAAAAGAAUUUUCGCUCUUUUUCGUAAGUAUUUAACUUUCGUCUGACGCAUGAAACGUAGAAAGGGAAAAUCAAGAAAAAAUCAUGGUGUGAACAUAUCAAAGGAAAUAUACCAACUCACGUUGCGGUAAAACACAUCCACCAUAUCUAAGUUAUUCUAAAGAAAGUCUAGAAAACGCAAUAAAAGCCAUUUAAAAUGGUUUAAUGAAAUUAAAAGAGGCUUCCAAAAAUUACAAUAUUCCAAUGAGCACUUUGAGUAGGAAAUCUAGAAACAAAAAUUGCACGCAAGAAAAAGCUGGGCACCCAACUCUAUUUUCAAUAGAGGAAGAGAAGACUUUUGUAGAAUAUAUACAAUUACUGAGCCCUUGGGGAUUUCCUUUGGAUACAACUGACUUACGAGUUUUGGUACUCUACUGUGAUGAUAAAAACAGUAAAUAUUUUAUUUAUUUAUUUAUUUAACUCUUUAUUGCACCAUAAAUAAAAAUAUACAAUGACAAGUUACAUUGGAUAUACAAAUAUUACAUUGGAUUUAUCGAAAAUAUUAAAUUUGAUGGACAAAAAUAUAAUUACAGUGUUAAUUUUUACAAAACUAUUAAAAAGCCACAGCUUGCGUUUUGGAUUAGCAAGAAAAUUUAUCGCGAUGAAGUUGAUGACAUAUGGAUUGUGAAAAAAAUUAUUAUGAAUAAUAAUCCUAUGAAGAAAAACGAGUUUCUUCUCGCUGAAGAAAGCGAUAUGGUGUAUUUUUGAGAUACUUUAAGCCACUUUAUUUUUCCAGAAUUUGUUUUUAUGUUAAGCAAAAUUUAUAAUCUUUUGUUACAUUUUAUAGCAUUUAUGUAGCUUUAACUAGGUAUGUACCUAGUAGUUACUAUUAUGUUUCUUUUCAUAAUGAAGAUUAUAAAAUAAUUUGAUUAAAAAUAUA
Molecule: long non-coding RNA, 1086 nt
Organism: Galleria mellonella (greater wax moth)
Lineage: Eukaryota; Metazoa; Arthropoda; Insecta; Lepidoptera; Pyralidae
Exons: 2
Source: RefSeq, a predicted model, not a curated record